Molecule: ribosomal RNA, 468 nt
Filed under: uncultured bacterium
Lineage: Bacteria
Description: partial 16S ribosomal RNA
Rfam family: Bacterial small subunit ribosomal RNA
Source: RNAcentral
GACGAACGCUGGCGGCGUGCUUAACACAUGCAAGUCGAACGGAAAGGCCCUGCUUUUGUGGGGUGCUCGAGUGGCGAACGGGUGAGUAACACGUGAGUAACCUGCCCUUGACUUUGGGAUAACUUCAGGAAACUGGGGCUAAUACCGGAUAGGAGCUCCUGCUGCAUGGUGGGGGUUGGAAAGUUUCGGCGGUUGGGGUUGGACUAGCGGCUUACCAGCUUGUUGGUGGGGUAGUGGCUUACCAAGGCUUUGACGGGUAGCCGGCCUGAGCGGGUGACCGGCCACAUUGGGACUGAGAGACGGCCCAGACUCCUACGGGAGGCAGCAGUGGGGAAUAUUGCACAAUGGGCGGAAGCGUGAUGCAGCAACGCCGCGUGCGGGAUAACGGCCUUCGGGUUGUAAACCGCUUUCGCCUGUGACGAAGCGUGAGUGACGGUAAUGGGUAAAGAAGCACCGGCUAACUACGUG